AGAGUUUGAUCAUGGCUCAGGACGAACGCUGACGGUGUGCUUUAGGCAUGCAAGUCGAACGAGAAAGCCCUUCGGGGUGAGUAAAGUGGCGAACGGGUGAGUAACACGUGGGCAACCUGCCCCUCGCAGGGGGACAACCGGAGGAAACUCCGGCUAAUACCCCGUACGCUUGUUGGAUCGCAUGGUCCGGCAAGGAAAGGUAGCUUCGGCCAUCCGGCGAGGGAUGGGCCCGCGUUGCAUUAGCUAGUUGGUGGGGUAACGGCCUACCAAGGCGACGAUGCGUAGCUGGUCUGAGAGGAUGAUCAGCCACACUGGGACUGAGACACGGCCCAGACUCCUACGGGAGGCAGCAGCCAGGAAUCUUGGGCAAUGGGCGAAAGCCUGACCCAGCAACACCGUGUGGGCGAUGAAGGCUCUAGGGUCGUAAAGCCCUGUUGAUAGGGACGAAGGGCGAAGGGUUAAUAGCCCCUAGCUUGACGGUACCUUUCGAGGAAGCCCCGGCUAACUACGUGCCAGCAGCCGCGGUAAUACGUAGGGGGCGAGCGUUGUCCGGAAUUAUUGGGCGUAAAGAGCGUGUAGGCGGUUCGGUAAGUCUGCUGUGAAAUCCUGGGGCUCAACCCUGGGCGUGCAGCGGAUACUGCCGGGCUAGAGGGUGGUAGAGGCGAGUGGAAUUCCCAGUGUAGCGGUGAAAUGCGCAGAUAUUGGGAGGAACACCAGUAGCGAAGGCGGCUCGCUGGGCCACACCUGACGCUGAGACGCGAAAGCGUGGGGAGCGAACAGGAUUAGAUACCCUAGUAGUCC
RNAcentral lists this ribosomal RNA (801 nucleotides) under uncultured bacterium. RNAcentral's name for it is "bacterial SSU rRNA". It matches the Rfam family "Bacterial small subunit ribosomal RNA", at positions 8 to 796 of the family's 1533-position model. The record is from RNAcentral.